This is a non-coding RNA of Triticum aestivum (bread wheat), 119 nucleotides long. NCBI's taxonomy places the organism in Eukaryota, Viridiplantae, Streptophyta, Magnoliopsida, Poales, Poaceae. The record is from Rfam.
GGAUGCGAUCAUACUAGCACUAAAGCACCGGAUCCCAUCAGAACUCCGAAGUUAAGCGUGCUUGGGCGAGAGUAGUACUAGGAUGGGUGACCUCCUGGGAAGUCCUCGUGUUGCAUUCC